This 497-nucleotide ribosomal RNA is filed under the name uncultured bacterium. RNAcentral's name for it is "partial 16S ribosomal RNA". It matches the Rfam family "Bacterial small subunit ribosomal RNA", at positions 28 to 507 of the family's 1533-position model. The record is from RNAcentral.
GAUGAACGCUGGCGGCGUGCCUAAUACAUGCAAGUCGAGCGAACAGACGAGGAGCUUGCUCCUUUGACGUUAGCGGCGGACGGGUGAGUAACACGUGGAUAACCUACCUAUAAGACUGGGAUAACUUCGGGAAACCGGAGCUAAUACCGGAUAACAUGUUGAACCGCAUGGUUCAACAGUGAAAGACGGUCUUGCUGUCACUUAUAGAUGGAUCCGCGCCGCAUUAGCUAGUUGGUAAGGUAACGGCUUACCAAGGCAACGAUGCGUAGCCGACCUGAGAGGGUGAUCGGCCACACUGGAACUGAGACACGGUCCAGACUCCUACGGGAGGCAGCAGUAGGGAAUCUUCCGCAAAGGGCGAAAGCCUGACGGAGCAACGCCGCGUGAGUGAAGAAGGUCUUCGGAUCGUAAAACUCUGUUAUUAGGGAAGAACAAAUGUGUAAGUAACUAUGCACGUCUUGACGGUACCUAAUCAGAAAGCCACGGCUAACUACGUG